RNAcentral lists this unclassified non-coding RNA (140 nucleotides) under uncultured Ascomycota. RNAcentral's name for it is "sequence contains ITS1". Lineage: Eukaryota; Fungi; Ascomycota. The record is from RNAcentral.
CCUUUUUUGUUGUAUUUACUACAACUUAUACCCUUGUCUUUUGCGUACCUUAUGUUUCCUCGGCGGGCUUGCCCGCCGGUUGGACAAACCUAUAACUCUUUUUAAUUUUCAAUCAGCGUCUGAACAAAAAUUAAUCAUUA